CAAAGGUAGCACAAUCACUUGUCUCCUAAAUAGGGACUAGUAUCAAUGGCAAGACGAGGGCCCAACUGUCUCCCUUCUUAAAAACUAAACUUCUCUAGUCGUGCAAAAGCGACCAUUUAAGCGUAAGACGAGAAGACCCUAUCGAGCUUCAAGGAGUAAAAUAAAGAUUGGAGCUAACAACCGCCUUAAAAAUUAAUAAUUAACCUCUAACAACGUUCUCCCCUCUGCUUCUUUUUCCUUCCACACUCCUUUUGGUUGGGGCAACCACGGAGAACAUUUAACCUCCGAAUUAACCUUUCUAAGAUUAAUAAAUCGAACAUUACGACCCCUAAAACUCAUGACCCAGACUAUCUGAUCAUUAAAUAAGUUACCGUAGGGAUAACAGCGUAAUCCCUUCUAAGAGUCCGCAUUGCCGAAGGGGUUUGCGACCUCGAUGUUGGAUCGGGUCGUCCUGAUGGUGCAGCCGCUAUC
This 471-nucleotide ribosomal RNA is filed under the name Saccoglossus kowalevskii. RNAcentral's name for it is "partial 16S ribosomal RNA". It matches the Rfam family "Bacterial large subunit ribosomal RNA", at positions 1951 to 2566 of the family's 2925-position model. The record is from RNAcentral. Lineage: Eukaryota; Metazoa; Hemichordata; Enteropneusta; Harrimaniidae.